AUGAACGCUGGCGGCGUGCCUAAUACAUGCAAGUCGAGCGAACGGACGAGAAGCUUGCUUCUCUGAUGUUAGCGGCGGACGGGUGAGUAACACGUGGAUAACCUACCUAUAAGACUGGGAUAACUUCGGGAAACCGGAGCUAAUACCGGAUAAUAUUUUGAACCGCAUGGUUCAAAAGUGAAAGACGGUCUUGCCGUCACCUAUAGAUGGAUCCGCGCUGCAUUAGCUAGUUGGUAAGGUAACGGCUUACCAAGGCAACGAUGCAUAGCCGACCUGAGAGGGUGAUCGGCCACACUGGAACUGAGACACGGUCCAGACUCCUACGGGAGGCAGCAGUAGGGAAUCUUCCGCAAUGGGCGAAAGCCUGACGGAGCAACGCCGCGUGAGUGAUGAAGGUCUUCGGAUCGUAAAACUCUGUUAUUAGGGAAGAACAUAUGUGUAAGUAACUGUGCACAUCUUGACGGUACCUAAUCAGAAAGCCGCGGCUAACUACGUG
This 496-nucleotide ribosomal RNA is filed under the name uncultured bacterium. Its description in RNAcentral is "partial 16S ribosomal RNA". It matches the Rfam family "Bacterial small subunit ribosomal RNA", at positions 29 to 507 of the family's 1533-position model. The record is from RNAcentral.